RNAcentral lists this ribosomal RNA (504 nucleotides) under uncultured bacterium. Its description in RNAcentral is "bacterial SSU rRNA". It matches the Rfam family "Bacterial small subunit ribosomal RNA", at positions 791 to 1300 of the family's 1533-position model. The record is from RNAcentral.
UAGUCCACGCCGUAAACGAUGUUCACUCGCUGUUUGGGAUACACACUAAGCGGCCAAGCGAAAGCAUUAAGUGAACCACCUGGGGAGUACGUUGGCAACAAUGAAACUCAAAGGAAUUGACGGGGACCCGCACAAGCGGUGGAACAUGUGGUUUAAUUCGAUGAUACGCGAGGAACCUUACCUGGACUUAAAUGUAGAUUGCAUAGAGUGGAGACAUUCUUUUCUUCGGACUAUUUACAAGGUGCUGCAUGGUUGUCGUCAGCUCGUGCCGUGAGGUGUCGGGUUAAGUCCCAUAACGAGCGCAACCCCUAUCGUUAGUUGCCAUCAGGUUAAGCUGGGGACUCUAACGAGACUGCCUGUGCAAACAGAGAGGAAGGUAAGGAUGACGUCAAGUCAGCAUGCCCCUUAUGCUCUGGGCUACACACGUGCUACAAUGGCCGUGACAAAGAGUUGCUACUUUGUGAAAACAAGCUAAUCUCAUAAACGCGGCCUCAGUUCGGAUUG